This 281-nucleotide ribosomal RNA is filed under the name uncultured bacterium. Its description in RNAcentral is "partial 16S ribosomal RNA". It matches the Rfam family "Bacterial small subunit ribosomal RNA", at positions 355 to 653 of the family's 1533-position model. The record is from RNAcentral.
UAGGGAAUAUUAGUAAUGGGCGAAAGCCUGAACUAGCAACGCCGCGUGUGCGAAGAAGGCCUUCGGGUUGUAAAGCACUUUUUGAGAGGAUGAGGAAGGACGGUACUCUCAGAAUAAGUCUCGGCUAACUACGUGCCAGCAGCCGCGGUAACACGUAGGAGGCGAACGUUAUCCGGAUUUACUGGGCGUAAAGCGCGUGUAGGUGGUUUGGUAAGUAGGGCGUGAAAGCUCCUGGCUCAACUGGGAGAGGCCGUUCUAAACUGCCGAACUAGAGGAUGGUA